UGUACACACCGCCCGUCACACCAUGGGAGUGGGUUGCAAAAGAAGUAGGUAGCUUAACCUUCGGGAGGGCGCUUACCACUUUGUGAUUCAUGACUGGGGUGAAGUCGUAACAAGGUAACCGUAGGGGAACCUGCGGUUGGAUCACCUCCUUACCUGAAAGAA
This 162-nucleotide ribosomal RNA is filed under the name Salmonella enterica subsp. enterica serovar Legon. RNAcentral describes it as "partial 16S ribosomal RNA". It matches the Rfam family "Bacterial small subunit ribosomal RNA", at positions 1382 to 1533 of the family's 1533-position model. Lineage: Bacteria; Pseudomonadati; Pseudomonadota; Gammaproteobacteria; Enterobacterales; Enterobacteriaceae. The record is from RNAcentral.